CCCAGAAGUUGCCUCUUUAACUAAUAAAUACAGUGCCCUAGGAGGAGUGCAGGCCUGGAAAGCUGAUGGCAAUUUCAACUACAUUAAGCUUCAGCUGUGAGGCCAAGUGGACGCUAGACAGAGCGUGAAGAGUUGGCAGAAGAAAAAGGGAAAGAGAGAACCAGGAAGGGUUACAGGAGCAAAGGCCCCGUGUUUGCAGGUCUUAGGAUGUCGAAAUCCUGCCGCUGGCUCUAAAAGCCUUGGCGUCGUGGGAAACAAACAAACAAAGCAAAAACAUCUAUUCAUCUGGAUUUUAUUCAUUUGUUUUAAAUACAAACAAAAGGAGAGAGGAGACAUGGUUAUUUCUGCAGCAACUAUUUCAAAUGCAACUUAUUCCAUCGCUCCAGGUGUUCCAAUGGUGUUUGUCACCGUAAGACCCACGGGGCUAGUUCCGACCAUUAUACGGAGAUUAUGGAGCUGUGGAAGGAUCAUGGGCCUGCUGGUUGGAUUUAGGAGCAGGUGUUCAUUGGAAGGAAUGAUGCUAAAGCUGAAACUCCAGUCCUUUGGCCACCUCCAUGCGAAGAGUUGACUCAUUGGAAAAGACUCUGAUGCUGGGAGGGAUUGGGGGCAGGAGGAGAAGGGGACGACAGAGGAUGAGAUGGCUGGAUGGCAUCACCGACUCGACGGACAUGAGUUUGAGUAAACUCUGGGAGUUGGUGAUGGACAGGGAGGCCUAGCGUGUUGCAGUUCAUGGGGUUGCAAAGAGUUGGACACGACUGAGCGACUGAACUGACUGACGGCCUCCUGCAACUACCGGAGGGGUCUGGACCAGAUGAUCCAAUAACCUAUGUUGGAAUUCUUGGUCCAAGACUAUGAACCCCAUUGUAUGGGGCAUGGAUCUCCAUGGGAAAGUGGUGGAGGGAAGAUCCAAGUACUGGGCCUGAGUAACUAGAGCUUUAAGAAUAUGCUGAAAAGUUAAAAUGAUUUAUUUGCUUAACAAAUGAGUCAAGUGUUUUGUAUCUCCAAUUUCUGUGUCUGAGGUUUGGUUUGGCGAGAGCUGAAAUCCAAGGGAUCACUGAAAGUAACAUGGUCAGAAAGUGGUAGGUCUAUAAAAUAGGCUGAAAAUGGUACCUUGGACAUCUUUGUGAUGGAAAAGACUCCUCUCUCAGGAGAAGACAUAAGACUGAC
This 1167-nucleotide long non-coding RNA is filed under the name Bos indicus x Bos taurus (hybrid cattle). RNAcentral describes it as "lncRNA (ENSBIXG00000006551.1)". The record is from RNAcentral. Lineage: Eukaryota; Metazoa; Chordata; Mammalia; Artiodactyla; Bovidae.